GCCUCAGGGCCACCUCAUCAAACCCCAACCUUUUCCAAGACCAAGGUCCCUCGCAAGUUAAGCUGAAGGUUAAGCGUGUCUCAGGUUGUCCUUUUCUUCUCUGAUUAACUUUUGCCAGGUUAUAACCUUUAAGUGAAAAGCAUCGCACAGACUCACCGUACUGGAUUGGAUGCUGUUCGGAUAUGGUUUUUAGAUCACCUUUAAACUCUUCUUAAGAGAAGGAAGAAAAACGGAGAUGAAAAACAAACUUUGUUUCAUUGUUCCAGUUUCACUUUAAAAUGAGAGAACCUAAAACAAACAACUGUCUGCUGAUGUAAUAACCAACUUAUCCAGAUACUUUCUUCCCUCUGGAGACCAUCAUAUCCAAUUUUGUGCAAAGAUACAGGAAAACAGAAAUCCAAAUAACAUAAAACGUCAGAAAGAAGACAUGUCUUGCCGUACCUGGUACCUGACCCCAGAUAUACACAUAAUUGAAGAUGGACCCUGCUGGUGGCUGAGAAAAUGCCUUGGAAUCAGGUGAGCCGCAAAGGGGCUGCCUCGCUGUGGCGGCUGUUUCUGGACCUGUUCUCUCCAGUUCCUGAGAGGAAAUCGGAGAUUGGAUCUACCCCCAUAUUUCGGGUCACAGCUUCCCCCUAACCUUGAUGCCUGGAUAGGGAGCAAGCAGGUGCAAAUGACCAAGAGGCUGCUGGAUAGUCCUGGAUGCAACCAAGAACAACUUUGCACAAAGACCCUAGGAGGCCAGGCUGCAUCUCCAUGUAUGCAUCUACAGUUUUUGUGAUUCUUCAGAAAAAUUUUAGGGUCAUUGGAUCCUUAGAAUUCAUGCAUAUGUCCCCUUUGCAGUGGUUUGUAUUUUACUCAUGUCCAAUGGAUUUCCCAAGUCUCUCUGGGUACUGUGUUCCUAACCUUGUAGUUUGUUCUUUCAUCCAGUCGGUAAACAAGCAGUCCCUCUGGCUCCCCUCACAAACACUAGUGCAUGGAUUGGCCAUUAAGAAAGCCUGCUAAGGGAUCUGCUGCCUGUCUUUCUGGGAAGGAGGCACAUCCCCAAUAUGAUGUCCUUUGCUCUGCUGCUCGGGUUUGGGACUGGCGUGUCCCUGAGAACCAAGUCUUUUGAUUUUACUGGUAUGUGCUAUGGCUGCAUAAUUUUGUGUUCAAUGACUUGGCUUGAAGUCUCCAUAAAUGUCUCUGAUUUAAUUUCACACUUAAGCAAACCAGAUUCCUUGGUGGAUCCACAGAAAGAAGGUGCAUUUUGGGACCGGCACUCACUGGUCACCGGCACAACCUCUGAAGUAAGGCCAAGCUGGAGGUGUGUACACACUGGCUGCCUGGAGCUGCUGUCUUAAUGUGUCUGGGAGUAGGGGCCUCCACAGCCCACUGGUCAGUCACAGGAGAAAUGGUCACCUGAGCUUCCCUCUGUAACACAUGGAGCAUCCAGUCCUGCCAGGGACCCUGGUUGACCACAGUUUGACAGUAAAACUACAAAAAACCAGUUGUCUGGCCACUAGGAUCAACCAGGCAGAUCCUGGCCCUUGUUUUAUAAGGAUGAAGAGAAAAGGAAGAGAUAAAGAAGAAAUGAAGGAGAAUUCACUGGAACUAAAUUAAUAAAGUUAUUACAUUUGU
Cavia porcellus (domestic guinea pig) is the source of this 1617-nucleotide long non-coding RNA. RefSeq lists it as uncharacterized. The transcript has 4 exons. The record is from RefSeq and is a predicted model, not a curated record. NCBI's taxonomy places the organism in Eukaryota, Metazoa, Chordata, Mammalia, Rodentia, Caviidae.